AAAGAACACCAGACUCAUCGACCCCGACCUGUUCGAUCCCCAAUCUCACCCCUCUCCCUCUCUAUCUCGCCACCCACACACCCUAACCCUAACCCGACCGCGCCGCCGCUCCCAACCUGCGCGCCUCCGCCCCAAACCACCCGCCAGUCCCUCGCGCCACCACAUCUCGGACCCCGGCCUCCCUUCCCUUAGUCCGCAGUAGCAGCAACGCCGUCUGCGACGGAGGAGCACCGUCCGCCGCCGAGGAACAGCAGCGCCGUCCGCCACCAAGGAUCCACCGCGCGCCGGGAACAGCAGCACCAUACGUCGGAGGAUUCGCCGCACCGAAUGCUAUUGAGGAGCAGCCUGCCGUUCUUCUUCCUCCACCGGCGACCCCUGUCUCGGCCCCGCCUCCAGAUCUGAACAAUCGGGUGGUUCCAGGUCUAGGUCAUGGCAUCAGUGGUGUGGCGUUGUUCUGUUUUCUCAAUGAAUAGCAGUCGCUUGUUGGAUGUGAAUUGCUACUGAGCUUGUUAUUGCUUCCAUAUAUACUGGUUUCGUUCAGCUGGUCAAGUUGCUGUUGCUCCCUCCGCUACGCAGAACAGUACCCCUGGAGAUGCGUGGAGUAGGCUAGUCCUCUGACCAUAACAAUUGGCUGCUACUGACGACACGAGGAGAGGAGCUGCACAAGACAGAAAAAGCACAAAUGGCCAAGUACACUUGACGGAAGAUUGACGAAACAGAGAGGAAGAGAGCACAGGAACAUUAUCUCAGCUGUCGUUGAUUUCAGAACAAAUCGUUGGCAUUGUACCUUCAAGGGAGUAUCCUUUUGCCUACUGAGCACACAGAACAAAUGCGUCUAUAUAUUUAUUUAAGGGAAACAACAUGCUCCCAUUUUUGGUCAAUCGGUGGAUCUGACUAAUACAUAACUAUAUAUAUAUGUGUGUGAGGUAUUAUUCAUGUGUCAUUUUUUGUAAUUCGAGUAAGCUGAAACUGAUGGUCUCAGAUGGUUUGUGUAUUAACUUUGAUCAGAACUUGCAUCUACAAAUACUGAGUAGUGGGUUGCCUUUUGUGCAGGAAUUUGCAGCAGGAUCCCUUGCUUGUGCUCUCCGCCUGUCCUCACUCCUUAGACCUUCCCUUUGCUUAUCACCAUACAUUUUAUUUAGAGUGGUGUCAAGAUGCAUCUCCUCUGCCAAGAUGAUGGGCAGAGGGCCUAAGCUCUAGUUGAGCUCCUCCACCAAGCAUGUGUUGUAUAUUGUACGAUGUUUUCAUCGUUAAUGUUUGCAAUCUAAUGCUUUGCUCUGCUAUUUUAAUUUCAUGUAACAUGCAUACUCUCAUUAUCUGUACGCAUGUGUUUGUAAUAACUUGUACGCAUGAGUUUGUAAGAAGUUGAAUGCUGGUAUGAUGCUUUAUUUUCUACAAAGUUGGGCUAUAUGCUCAUGGCUGCUUCCUGA
Long non-coding RNA from Triticum dicoccoides, 1430 nucleotides. RefSeq lists it as uncharacterized. The transcript has 5 exons. Lineage: Eukaryota; Viridiplantae; Streptophyta; Magnoliopsida; Poales; Poaceae. The record is from RefSeq and is a predicted model, not a curated record.